AAUGUGUGUGAGGUUGAGUGAGUCUCGAUGACGACCCUUCCGAGGGAUACGAAGAUUUACCCUUCCGAGGGAUAUGAAGACUAGUGCCAGAGCUCAUCUGGUAGUUAUCAGGCUCAUCUGGUAGUUCCCGGGUUACGUCCGGGCGUGAUCUAUAAUCCCCAGUCCUGCUAUCUGCCGGGUUGUCCUCGUGCGGGGGCCUGGGGUGAUCAUGGUUGUAGAAGGCCCUCAGGGGUAACACGAAGGCCGAUCAUAUGUCCGGGUCCUGUAUUCUGGUGAGUUAGUCCUCAUUGGGGGACUGGGACGAUCGUGUAACUUGGCUCCUCAAUUGUCUUAUCUCUUAGUGAGAACCUUCACUAGGGGGUAAGGACGCGUCCAUACGCCUCAUGGAAGUGGUUACGACUCUAUCCGAUGUCUCCUCCAUGUUACGAAGAGUAGCGGUUAGUGUCACCUCUCGUAGUGGAGGUGAUGCCGUAUCCGUGAUGUACUUGGACUAGGAUUCUAAGGUAGUUGUCUCAAGGCUUACUUCUAACUGGAGUAGAACUCUAAGUGAUAAGUCUCCGACCCACGGUUGGUCUUAUCCCCAAGAGGCCUAGUCCUGAUCAAACUAGGAGUCUUGGUUCUAUAGAACUACGUACGGCUUGAUCCCCUAUAUAAAGGGGUACGUAGGCACAUCAAGGGGAUAUAUCGAGAGUUGUGAGAACGAGAGCAGAAAUAUAUUCCCUUGAUCUCAGCCACCCUCAAACAAACAACCACCACUCUCCGGCGACCAAAACCACCGUCACGGAUCUUGAUUCCGGCCAUGAACCUCAUCUUUGUUGAUUACCAAAUUCCUCUAUCAACAUAAGUGUAUCUCGCUAGAUAGUGAGCUACCCUAUUCGCGGAUCGUUUAACAAAUCUAAACAAUACGUUUUGACCUUUUAAAUCGGCAAGUAAUUUCCUGCACUCAUCAAAUCACUCUUCCCAGGUAAGAGAAAUUAUUGAAUGAGCUACGGAUUGCUUGCACGACCUGCAGAUAGUCUGUUUCCACUUCCACAUUUGAGUGCAUCUGUUCUUAAAUCCAACUUAAGGCUCCUCGUAUACCAAUAGCUUCAGCUAGCUCCGGAGAAAUCUGCCCUUGCACACAUUUUGCUUCUGCUACUACUAGAUCACCCGCAUGAUUACGAACUACAAAAGCAUGGCUGUAGCAGUUGGAAUCAUUGAAAAUGGCUGCAUCAGUGUUAAUCUUAACGCUAUCAGACGGUGGUGGUUGCCAGUGCUCGUGACCAUCUUCAUAAGUCAUACAACUCAUAAAGCGAUCAAAUGUUUUGUCCUGCACAUUCUUCCAUUGGUUAAGAACAGAAUACGCUGAUUCUACCACUCCAGUUGCUUCCAAACUACGCUGGUUCCAUACUAAGUCGUUCCUGGCUUUCCACAACAUCCAACAUACCAUAACUGUUAUGUGAACAUCGUUGCUACUCCUUUGCUGAAAGACUAGCUGUAGCAUGCUCAUUAAUUAUGCAGACCUGUGUAAUUGAUGAUUACUUUUUCUGCUGCGAUUGACUUAUCACCCCUUUUAACCUUAUCUUUCAAUUUCAAAUUUCAAAUUUCAUUGUUAUGUUAUUGUUCUACUUCUCCCCUGGAAACCCUCUUCCCAUUGUCCUCUUUCCUCAAUCAGCUUCUUCUUAAUAAACGAAGCCUCUGUGUAAUGGAUCAGCGGAACAAGAUUUCCGAAUCUGAUGGGUUGUACCAUGGCCGGAGGUCUGAUGAUUUUAGUUUGGAUUCCUCUCUGCACUCUGGUGAAUGCUUUGCCUGUUUAUUAAGUCUGAUUUUGAUUAUGAUUUUGUAUUUUCAGGCGUUUGAUUUAGUUCUUUGUAUUGACGAUGAGGUGAAUUUGGAUUUAAAAACUCAAUAAAAUGCUGAGCAACUACUCCUCAAUGGAAGGUGUGUUGUACUGCAAGCCACACUUUGAGCAGCUGUACAAGGAAUCGGGAAACUUCAACAAGAACUUUCUGUCACGUAUAAUUUUGCUGCAGCUGCAAAGUCAGCUGAUCAGUUAACUCCAGUGCUGACAAAGUCACCUAGCAAAGCUACUGGCAUGUUUUCUGGCACACAAGAUAAAUGUGCUACUUGCGGUAAAACAGCUUAUCCACUAGAGAAGGUAUGUAACUUCUUCAAGAACAUAAGAUAUUAUUACACUUUGCUGAUUAAGUUAAAGUUACUUUUUCUACUUCUCAAAGACUGACUGAUAUCUGCAUCUUAGUAUGUAUAGUAUUUUGCAACGGGUGGUGCACAGAUUCUCAUAACCAUUUGUAUUUUUUUGGAGUUUCAUGACAAACAUCAGUCUAACUUUUACUAUAUACUACUCCCUCUGUUUGGAUAUAAUAGUCGUUUGACUUUUUUGCACGUACUUUUAAAAGCUUUGACCGCACUCUAAAAAUUAUUAUUUUUAAAUUUUUUCUUUUGUGAAUAAAAAUAUAUCACUAAUAUUUUUAUUUACAAAAAGAAAAUUUUAAAAAUAAUAAUUUUGGAUGUGCGGUCAAAACUCUUAAAUAUACGUGCAAAAAAGUCAAAAGACUAAUAUAUCCAAACAGAGGGAGUACUAUUUGUUUGUGUGAAAUUUUGCAAUGUCCGACUCAAGUGUUCACUGACUUUUGUGUUGAAGGAGUGAUUUGUGAUUUACAAUGUGAUUACUAACCGGAAAGGGUUAGACUGGGGAAGAGGGAGGUAUUUUUGUCAGUUGUCGAACAACUUUUGGUUUAAAGCCAAUUCAAGAGUCCAAAGAGCAUAUCAUUUUUCACUGUGAGUUUGUGAUAUUCUUCUUAAAGCAGCAUCAUAUUCGGAGACAUCUCUUUUAAUAUUAUAUCACUCUGUCAUUUUGUUUACGGAGGGGAUUUGGUUGUAUACCGACUCUUAUUAUGCUCAGUCUGAGUAUCUUAUGGUUAGAGUUCAUUCAAAUGCUACCUGGAUCUAACAAUCUAUGUUGGGAUAUAGGUUAUGUAUUCACAAUGCUAGAUGUGGCUUUCUUCCAUAGAAAUUAAAGUUCUAAAGCUUCCAUAGAUGUGGCCUUCUUCGCGAGUUCGUGACCUACCUCCAGAGCAGUUCUGUAGACAUAAUUUGUUUUAGGAAAAGCUUCUGAAGCAGGAUUCGCGAAUGAAAUGUACAAGAUCCUGACGGCUGCUGCACUCAGUAUAAUGUUGGACCGGUCACUGAUUAUUGGGAAACCAGGCAAUUGGUGCUCUCUCAAGCCUUUACAUAUGUUUAUCCAUUAAUUUCACUUGAAUGAUGAACAAAAGUAAAACCACCGAUCUUCCAAUUUAAUUCUGUAAGGCAGUUGAUAUUGCUGCAUGCUUCUCUGGUUCAUAGUGUUCCUCAAUUUAAUUCUUGGUUGAUAAACAAGACUGUGCAUGCAUUUGUGAUCAUAAUAUAAAAUUCACUAUGAGAAACAUUUGAUCCAAUAUAUAAGUUUAUUCCACCUUUAGUGAGUUAAAUACCAAAGAUGAAUUUAUUAUAACUUUGUGACAGCUACAUAUACUAUUGAAACAUAUCGUUUACCUUGAACGAAGUUAAGCAUCUUUGGAGACAAAAUGGUUGUGCUAGACAUUUGUUAAUGAGGAUUGAUGAUUUUCAGAAGCCAGCACUGACAAGUGUUCUUUGUAGCAACUGGAAGGAGUGGGAGGAACCAAUAAUAUGGCUCCAAAAUACCACAGAUUCUGUAGCAGCUCAAUUUUUUUUAAAAAAAUAUCAACAUCAAGAUGAGGGAAGUUGCAAUGAAUCUAUUUGGAAAGCCGGAUGAUUUUCAUGAUAGGCCCAACGUGUUUGGAGAACUCAUGAGAGUCCUCAUAUCUCCCUUAGAAAAUGGAAAGGAUCCUAAUAUUACACUGUACAUGCGGAUGCUUAUGAAUAGGUAUUGGAAUUGCAUAAACCAAUACUAUUAUGUAUUUCAUCAA
This is a long non-coding RNA of Daucus carota subsp. sativus, 3926 nucleotides long. RefSeq lists it as uncharacterized. Lineage: Eukaryota; Viridiplantae; Streptophyta; Magnoliopsida; Apiales; Apiaceae. The record is from RefSeq and is a predicted model, not a curated record. The transcript is spliced from 5 exons.